AUGCUAAAAAUUGAUCUUGCUAAGGCUUUUGACUGUUUGCAUUGGAGCUUCAUUUUCUCUGCCCUAACUCGUAAAGGACUUCAUGAUCAUUUUAUUAAUUUAAUCCAUGCAUGUAUUUCCACUCCAAUGUUCUUUGUCAUAAUAAAUGGCCAAUCAUAUGCGAGAUUCCGUAGCAGCAGAGGAAUCAGACAAGGUUGUCCCCUCUCACCUUAUCUUUUUGUUCUUGCCAUUAAUGAGCUUUCUAUCUCUAUGCAAGAGGCCAUGAUGUCCAAGCAUUUGACAGGUAUUUCUCUUGGACCAAAAUGCCCCUCAAUUCAUUCUCUCAUGUUCGCUGAUGACUUAUUAGUCUGUGGCCAGGCCACCAUCCAAGAAGCAACUACAAUGAACCAAAUCAUCCAAUCUUUCUGUACAAUCUGGUCAAACUCCAAAUUGGAGCAAAUCUGCUAUUCUAUUUAG
RNAcentral lists this ribosomal RNA (456 nucleotides) under Triticum aestivum (bread wheat). Its description in RNAcentral is "partial small subunit ribosomal RNA". The record is from RNAcentral. Lineage: Eukaryota; Viridiplantae; Streptophyta; Magnoliopsida; Poales; Poaceae.